This 483-nucleotide ribosomal RNA is filed under the name Filifactor villosus. RNAcentral's name for it is "bacterial SSU rRNA". It matches the Rfam family "Bacterial small subunit ribosomal RNA", at positions 9 to 494 of the family's 1533-position model. Lineage: Bacteria; Bacillati; Bacillota; Clostridia; Peptostreptococcales; Filifactoraceae. The record is from RNAcentral.
GAGUUUGAUUCUGGCUCAGGAUGAACGCUGGCGGCGUGCUUAACACAUGCAAGUCGAACGGGCGAAUUAUAUCGGAGGUCUUCGGGCCGAAGAGAUAAUAAGCUAGUGGCGGACGGGUGCGUAACGUGUGGGUAAUCUGCCUUUGUCAUAGGAAUAACUGCUUGAAAAAGUAGCUAAUACCAAAUAACAUAUCGUAUAGGCAUCUAUAAGAUAUCAAAGAGAAAUCGGACAAAGAUGAGCCCGCAUCUGAUUAGCUGGUUGGUAGGGUAAAAGCCUACCAAGGCGACGAUCAGUAGCCGGCCUGAGAGGGUGAACGGCCACAUUGGAACUGAGACACGGUCCAAACUCCUACGGGAGGCAGCAGUGGGGAAUAUUGCACAAUGGGGGGAACCCUGAUGCAGCAACGCCGCGUGAGUGAAGAAGGCUUUCGAGUCGUAAAACUCUGUUGUAAGGGAAGAUAAUGACGUACCUAAAAGAAGCCCC